Molecule: ribosomal RNA, 400 nt
Filed under: uncultured cyanobacterium
Lineage: Bacteria; Bacillati; Cyanobacteriota
Description: bacterial SSU rRNA
Rfam family: Bacterial small subunit ribosomal RNA
Source: RNAcentral
AAUGGGCGAAAGCCUGACGGAGCAAUACCGCGUGAGGGAGGAAGGCUCUUGGGUCGUAAACCUCUUUUCUCAGGGAAGAACACAAUGACGGUACCUGAGGAAUAAGCAUCGGCUAACUCCGUGCCAGCAGCCGCGGUAAUACGGAGGAUGCAAGCGUUAUCCGGAAUGAUUGGGCGUAAAGCGUCCGCAGGUGGCGAUGUAAGUCUGCUGUUAAAGAGUCUAGCUCAACUAGAUAAGAGCAGUGGAAACUACAUAGCUAGAGUACGUUCGGGGCAGAGGGAAUUCCUGGUGUAGCGGUGAAAUGCGUAGAGAUCAGGAAGAACACCAGUGGCGAAGGCGCUCUGCUAGGCCGUAACUGACACUGAGGGACGAAAGCUAGGGGAGCGAAUGGGAUUAGAUA